Molecule: ribosomal RNA, 478 nt
Filed under: uncultured bacterium
Lineage: Bacteria
Description: SSU rRNA
Rfam family: Bacterial small subunit ribosomal RNA
Source: RNAcentral
AGGAUGAACGCUGGCGGCGUGCCUAACACAUGCAAGUCGAACGCUCUCCAUUCGGUAGCAAUACUGAUGAAGAGGGAGUGGCGAACGGGUGAGUACCACGUGAGCAACCUGCCCCGAAGACUGGGACAACACCGGGAAACCGGUGCUAAUACCGGAUAUCCCUAUCGGAUCGCAUGAUCUGAUAAGGAAAUGGAUUCCGCUUCGGGAGGGGCUCGCGGCCUAUCAGCUAGUUGGUGAGGUAAUAGCUCACCAAGGCAUCGACGGGUAGCUGGUCUGAGAGGACGAUCAGCCACACUGGGACUGAGACACGGCCCAGACUCCUACGGGAGGCAGCAGUGGGGAAUCUUGCGCAAUGGGCGAAAGCCUGACGCAGCAACGCCGCGUGGAGGACGAAUGCUUUCUGAGUUGUAAACUCCUUUCAGCAGGGACGAUUGUGACGGUACCUGCAGAAGAGCACCGGCCAACUACGCACCAGACG